GACGAACGCUGGCGGCGUGCCUAAUACAUGCAAGUCGAGCGGACUGAUUAAGAGCUUGCUCUUAUGGCGUUAGCGGCGGACGGGUGAGUAACACGUGGGCAACCUGCCCUGUAGAUCGGGAUAACACCGAGAAAUCGGUGCUAAUACCGGGUAAUAUCUGAGAUCACAUGAUCUUAGGUUAAAAGAUGGCUCCGGCUAUCACUACAGGAUGGGCCCGCGGCGCAUUAGCUAGUUGGUAAGGUAAUGGCUUACCAAGGCGACGAUGCGUAGCCGACCUGAGAGGGUGAUCGGCCACACUGGGACUGAGAUACGGCCCAGACUCCUACGGGAGGCAGCAGUAGGGAAUCUUCCGCAAUGGACGAAAGUCUGACGGAGCAACGCCGCGUGAGUGAUGAAGGGUUUCGGCUCGUAAAGCUCUGUUGUUAGGGAAGAAACAGUACCGAACGAACUAGGUCGGUACCUUGACGGUACCUAACCAGAAAGCCACGGCUAACUACGUG
Molecule: ribosomal RNA, 500 nt
Filed under: uncultured bacterium
Lineage: Bacteria
Description: partial 16S ribosomal RNA
Rfam family: Bacterial small subunit ribosomal RNA
Source: RNAcentral